RNAcentral lists this ribosomal RNA (253 nucleotides) under uncultured bacterium. Its description in RNAcentral is "partial 16S ribosomal RNA". It matches the Rfam family "Bacterial small subunit ribosomal RNA", at positions 524 to 776 of the family's 1533-position model. The record is from RNAcentral.
UACAGAGGGUGCGAGCGUUAAUCGGAAUUACUGGGCGUAAAGCGUGCGUAGACGGUAGCGUAAGUCAGAUGUGAAAGCCCCGGGCUCAACCUGGGAACUGCAUUUGAGACUGCUCUGCUCGGGUGCGGAAGAGGGAGGCGGAAUUUCCGGUGUAGCGGUGAAAUGCGUAGAUAUCGGAAGGAACACCAGUGGCGAAAGCGGCUUCCUGGUCCGACACCGACGUUCAGGCACGAAAGCGUGGGGAGCAAACAGG